UACGUAGGGUGCGAGCGUUAAUCGGAAUUACUGGGCGUAAAGGGCUCGUAGGCGGCCAACUAAGUCAGAUGUGAAAUCCCCAGGCUCAACCUGGGAACUGCAUAUGAUACUGGAUGGCUUGAAUUCGGGAGAGGGAUGCAGAAUUCCAGGUGUAGCGGUGAAAUGCGUAGAUAUCUGGAGGAAUACCGGUGGCGAAGGCGGCAUCCUGGACCGACAUUGACGCUGAUGCGCGAAAGCCAGGGGAGCAAACGGG
This 253-nucleotide ribosomal RNA is filed under the name uncultured bacterium. Its description in RNAcentral is "partial 16S ribosomal RNA". It matches the Rfam family "Bacterial small subunit ribosomal RNA", at positions 524 to 776 of the family's 1533-position model. The record is from RNAcentral.